Molecule: ribosomal RNA, 468 nt
Filed under: uncultured bacterium
Lineage: Bacteria
Description: partial 16S ribosomal RNA
Rfam family: Bacterial small subunit ribosomal RNA
Source: RNAcentral
GACGAACGCUGGCGGCGUGCUUAACACAUGCAAGUCGAACGGAAAGGCCCUGCUUUUGUGGGGUGCUCGAGUGGCGAACGGGUGAGUAACACGUGAGUAACCUGCCCUUGACUUUGGGAUAACUUCAGGAAACUGGGGCUAAUACCGGAUAGGAGCUCCUGCUGCAUGGUGGGGGUUGGAAAGUUUCGGCGGUUGGGGAUGGACUCGCGGCUUAUCAGCUUGUUGGUGGGGUAGUGGCUUACCAAGGCUUUGACGGGUAGCCGGCCUGAGAGGGUGACCGGCCACAUUGGGACUGAGAUACGGACCAGACGGCUACGGGAGGCAGCAGUGGGGAAUAUUGCACAAUGGGCGGAAGCCUGAGGCAGCAACGCCGCGUGCGGGAUGACGGCCUUCGGGUUGUAAACCGCUUUCGCCUGUGACGAAGCGUGAGUGACGGUAAUGGGUAAAGAAGCACCGGCUAACUACGUG